UACGUAGGGGGCAAGCGUUGUCCGGAAUCAUUGGGCGUAAAGAGCGUGUAGGCGGCCUGGUAAGUCCGCUGUGAAAGUCCAGGGCUCAACCCUGGAAUGCCGGUGGAAACUGUCAGGCUCGAGUCCGGAAGAGGCGAGUGGAAUUCCUGGUGUAGCGGUGAAAUGCGCAGAUAUCAGGAGGAACACCAAUGGCGAAGGCAGCUCGCUGGGACGGUACUGACACUGAGGCGCGAAAGCGUGGGGAGCGAACAGG
Molecule: ribosomal RNA, 253 nt
Filed under: uncultured bacterium
Lineage: Bacteria
Description: partial 16S ribosomal RNA
Rfam family: Bacterial small subunit ribosomal RNA
Source: RNAcentral